RNAcentral lists this long non-coding RNA (4203 nucleotides) under Sus scrofa (pig). Its description in RNAcentral is "lncRNA (ENSSSCG00000061077.1)". The record is from RNAcentral. Lineage: Eukaryota; Metazoa; Chordata; Mammalia; Artiodactyla; Suidae.
UGACAUAUGGAAUUUCCCAGGUUAGGGGUCAAAUUGGAGCCCCAGCCUCUGGCGUACAUCACAGCCACAACACCACCAGAUAUGAGGAGCUGCAUCUGCAACCUCUGCCACAGCUCACAGCAAUGUCAGAUCCUUAACCCACUGAGCCACAAUGGGAGCUCCUAAGUAUUCAAUCUUUAAAAACUAGGAACAGAAGCACAAUUUAAUCCUAAAUAGAGUAGGAGAAAGCAAAUAAGACAAAUUGAUAAGGUAGGAAAUGGAGAAACAAGAAUGUACAUUAAAACAUUUAAAAAUAAAACCAACAAAAUAAACAAAUCUCAAAACAAGCUUUAUUUUUUUUCCCUCAAACUAAACUGUGUUAAAAAGAAAUAGAAGAGGCUCUACCUACGCAAUAUAGAUUUAAAAAGAAACAACACAGUAACUCUGCCGUGGGGAUACAAAGCAGACAGAGCCUGAGGAAUCCUGGACAACUUAGAGACCCUGCUGUUUGAACUGCAUCAUUACCUGACAUGUAUGGUGUUCCUGCUGUAACAUCUUAUGCAGUUAAAAGUGUCAGUGGCCCUCUUUUUAAGUCAUCAGAAUUGUUGCUUGGAUUUCAGCCAGUCCUCAGGUUGAAAAAUGUAACCCACCUCGUCUGGUGAUGAGACACUUCGGGACCACACGUGCUCAUCCUCAGUUUGUUGCUCACCGUUUAGAUCGAAGAGAAGACUUGGGGAGUUCCUGUCGUGGAGCAGCAGAAACGGAUCUGACUAGGAACCGUGAGGUUGCGCGUUCGAUCCCUGGCCCCGCUCAUUGGGUUAAGGAUCUGACCUUGCCGUGAGCUGUGGUGUAGGUCGCAGACUUGGCUCAGAUCUGGCGUUGCUGUGGCUGUGGUGUAGACCUGCGGCUACAUCUCUGAUUUAACCCCUAGCCUGGGAACCUCCAUAUGCCACAGGUGCAGCCCUAAAAAGCAAAAAAAAAAAAAAAAAAAGGGAGGGGGAGAGAAGGCUUGGUGUUAGAAUGUGCUCUCUUAUUUCUCAUAGUAUUUACAGAUGGCCACCGUGUCACACAACUGCUGUGGAAACAUUCCCAGAAUCCCAUGUGUGUGCCCACCUUGGAGCCGUGUGCAGCAAGGCAGCCCUCCGGGGGUACAGAUGGAGGUAGAGGUAAGAACGAGCAAAGUCAGAUCAAAGGAAGGUGACUGAGAUUCCCGAAGGUGUUUUGAGCCUGGUAUAAAAGGAGUGGAGAGAGAUUAUUGAUGGGAAAAUUAAGGGUGUGUUGCCCACAUGAGACUCACCAUUAACAAAGAUUUAGAGGCAACAGCAGGUCUCUUAUGUGCAGCGAUGCCUGGCAGACUGUCUCAGUUAAAGAAAGAAUGGUGGUACCAGACUCUCCCGGCAGAUUAGGGUGGACGGAUUUAAAGACUGGACUGGGUCCUUUGCUCACCCACAUUCAGCCUUGAUAGUUUAAUUUGGACCGCAGUGACCCCCUUUCCAGCUGUCUGCUUAAUUUCCUCCUGUAAGUAUCCACUGCUAUUCUAACUUAGACAGUUUCUCUUCUCCCUAGCCCAGUCCUGCCCUUACUCAUAACCACAGGCUCAAUCUUUUCAUCUCCCUCAUUAACUUCUUCUCGUCUGAAAUUCAGUCUUUAAGUUCUUUUGAUCUUUACCUCACAGAGUUUCUUCAGAAAAACUUCUAAGCAACCAAUGCAGAAAUUCUCAGAGUCUCCGAUUUCAGAGACUGUCUUUUAUUUUCCAUCUGAGCAGGCAAGUUCUGAACUAAAAACCACCUCCUGCUUGGUGAGACAGUGAGUGGGUUGUUGAAAACUGGUGGCAGUAGGUGAUUUUUAAUGGAUCCUACAUGUCUAUUUCUACUUUAUUAACUGUAUUAUGUUAACCUUCUUUAAGUUGCUUCAGAUAUUUGUGGAAAGCUGUGGGGCAUAGAUAAACUGAAUGUGCAAGAUGUUUUAAGAAUUGAGGAGUUCCUGUUGUGGUACAGUGGAAAGGAAUCUGACUAGGACCCGUGAGAUUGCAGGUUCGAUCCCCGGCCUUGAUUAGCGGGUUAAGGAUCUGGCCUUGCCGUGAGCUGUGUUGUAGGUCACAGACUUGGCUUGGAUCUGGCGUUGUUGUGGCUGUGGUGUAGGCUGGUUCCCUAGCAUGGGAACCUCCAUAUGCUGCAGGUGUGUCCCUAAAAAGCAAAUAAAUAAAUAAAUAAAAGAUGUUUCAAGAAUUUAGACUCCCUUUAUCUGUCUUGUCCUUUGCCAUCCCACAGCCUCUACCCCUGGCAAGGUAGGCUCCUUAUAGUGAGAGGACAGCAGAUUUACAGAUUGGUCCUUUGGUCUCUGUGUUUUGAGAUGUAUCUUUUUAUACACAGUUUGAUUCAUGUUCUUAAUCCCAGCUUUGGUUCUUCUUCUCAACUGGCCCCUGAUCUUGUUAUAUCUGGUUCUAUGUCAUGCUUUUAUUUACUCUUUCAAACAUAUGGCCCUGGUGGAAACAGAGCAGUGAAUCUACAAUAUUUUUUUGUCAUAUCCUUGGAGGUGGGUGGGGGCUUCCACGUGGUACAUGGGUUCCUGGAGUGCUAGUCCAGUGGCACCUACUUAGGGGCCCAGGCUGCUGAUUUUUGCAGUCAAUCCUCCUGUGCUGUGCUCUGAGGGAACCUAUUAUGGAUUACCUGACCCAGGUUGUCAGAAACACACACAAAGGCAAAAUAGCUGGGCUAGGACACUUUAGGGAGAUAGGGAAAUAAAAUCAGAAGAAUCUGAGGCCAAGAGACCAGAACUUAUAUACAAAAAGGAAUACAAAGACCAGAAAUGUGGAUAUACAGAGAAGGAGAAAGUCCUUGGCCUUUGGAUUAUGUGGCUCAUUCAUAGUGGGUAUUUGAAUGUUUCUUGACAUGGAAUGAAACUUGGAAUUGUGAGGAACGAUGGAACAUAUUGGAACUAUGUAGGAAAGAGUGUGAGAAAUUACUUGAGAUAUGUAAAACCACCUUAAGAGGUAUAAAAGAUGUACAGAUAAAUGCAAAGAAAACUCUCUUUGCACACGUCUUAAUUAAACCACUGAAAACUAAAGAAAAGAGAAAAUGUUAAAAAGGUGCCAGAGGAGAACACAAUAAUUUCAGAAGAUCAAUAAGACUGACAGCCGACUUCGCAACAGAAACAAUGGAAAGCAAAACACAAGCUCUGCAACAGAGUAAAUUUUUUUAAAGUAUAGUUGAUUUACAAUGUUGUGCCAGUUUCUACUGUACAGCAGUGACUUAGUCAUUAGUCAUAUAUAUAUAUAUACACACACACACACAUUCUUUUUAAUAUUAUUUUCUUUUUUCCCCCAUCUUUUUAGAGCUGCACCUACAGCAUAUGCAAGUUCCCAGGCUAGGGGUCGAAUCAAAGUUAUAGCCACUGGCCUACACCACAGCCACAGCAACACCAGAUCUGACCUGCGUCUGUGACCUACACCACCGCUCACAGCAAUGCCACAUCCUUAACCCACUGAGCAAGGACAGGAAUCGAAUCUGUGUCCUCAUGGAUACUAGUCAGGUUCAUUACUGCUGAGCCACAACGGGAACUCUCUUUAUAUUAGUUUCCAUUAUGGUCUAUCCCAGGAGAUUGGAUAUAGCUUCCUGUGCUAGAGAGUAGGACCUUAUCAUUUGUCCAUUCUAAAUGUAAUAGUUUGCAUCUACUAACCCCAAACUCCCACCAGAGUCCCUUCUGCCAGAGUAACUUUUUACCUAACAUUUUGUACUCAGAAUAUUCUACAAACUGAAGUAAAAAUAAAGAUUUUUUGGCAUCUUUUUAGGGCUACACCCUCAGCAUAUGGAGGUUUCCAGGCUAGGGAUCAAACUGGAGCUGUAGCUGCCAGCCUACACCACAGCCACAGCAACAUAGCAUCUGACCCGGAUCUGAGACCUACACCACAGCUCACGGCAGAUGCGGCUCAGAUCCCACGCUGCUGUGGCUCUGGUGUAGGCUGGUGGCUACAGCUCUGAUUUGACCCCUAGCCUGGGAACCUCCAUAUGCCACAGGAGCGGCCCAAGAAAUGGCAAAAAAAGACAAAAAAAAAGUGUUCUGAGAUACUUGUUUUAUUGGGUAAAUGGUCAAAGUACUGAUUUGUCUAAGAUUAUAGUAAUGCAAAGACAAAUGCUAUAAUGCAAAAUAUAACCAUCAAAAAUUGCAACACACACGUAGGCUAAAAGGAAAAUGAAAUAAAAAAUACUUGAUUCAAAAAGAAGG